RNAcentral lists this ribosomal RNA (465 nucleotides) under Escherichia coli. Its description in RNAcentral is "bacterial SSU rRNA". It matches the Rfam family "Bacterial small subunit ribosomal RNA", at positions 30 to 483 of the family's 1533-position model. The record is from RNAcentral. Lineage: Bacteria; Pseudomonadati; Pseudomonadota; Gammaproteobacteria; Enterobacterales; Enterobacteriaceae.
AUUGAACGCUGGCGGCAGGCCUAACACAUGCAAGUCGAACGGUAACAGGAAGCAGCUUGCUGCUUCGCUGACGAGUGGCGGACGGGUGAGUAAUGUCUGGGAAGCUGCCUGAUGGAGGGGGAUAACUACUGGAAACGGUAGCUAAUACCGCAUAAUGUCGCAAGACCAAAGAGGGGGACCUUCGGGCCUCUUGCCAUCGGAUGUGCCCAGAUGGGAUUAGCUUGUUGGUGGGGUAACGGCCCACCAAGGCGACGAUCCCUAGCUGGUCUGAGAGGAUGACCAGCCACACUGGAACUGAGACACGGUCCAGACUCCUACGGGAGGCAGCAGUGGGGAAUAUUGCACAAUGGGCGCAAGCCUGAUGCAGCCAUGCCGCGUGUAUGAAGAAGGCCUUCGGGUUGUAAAGUACUUUCAGCGGGGAGGAAGGGAGUAAAGUUAAUACCUUUGCUCAUUGACGUACCCGCA